Molecule: long non-coding RNA, 203 nt
Filed under: Elaeis guineensis (African oil palm)
Lineage: Eukaryota; Viridiplantae; Streptophyta; Magnoliopsida; Arecales; Arecaceae
Description: long non-coding RNA (EGUI_LNC054406)
Source: RNAcentral
UGCGGAGAGUGGAGCGACAUUCAUUAUCGUGACUUGCCAGAGAGUGGUGGAGCUAUGCAGAAUCCAUCGCAGGAAGUGGAGCAGAAUCGUGGCUAUUACUGCGGCCUGCCGCAUGGAGCCUGUUGCGGGGAGUGGUGGAGCCGUGCAGAAUCUGUCGCAGGAGGUGGAGCAGAGUCGUGGCCAUUACUGUGGCCUGUCAGGGA